Lingula anatina is the source of this 1234-nucleotide long non-coding RNA. The record is from RefSeq and is a predicted model, not a curated record. Lineage: Eukaryota; Metazoa; Brachiopoda; Lingulata; Lingulida; Lingulidae.
GUGAAUGCCAUGCGCAUGGUGAUGUCCGCUAUGUUACGUGUGAUGGGAGAGUCUUCAAAUAUAACACCCCGACCAACGUUUACGGUAUCAUGGCAAAGUCUAAUACAACCUGGUUUUGGUAUGUAAUAACAAGACAAGAAUUCUUUGAAGACACCCCGAAGACUCGUCUGUCAGCAGUGAAAUUCAAGAUCUUUUCUUACUUCGUGAUCGUUGACUACAAAAAGAUUUCGAAUCCAGAUGGACUGUAUAGAAUAACGGUCGGAAAUGAUUAUGCAGUUGGUCCGAUAGCGGUUCUUUAUGAAAGUCUUGGUCCUGAUACUGUGGUACCUGGUGAAAAGUUCGUGGGGAACGGUUUUAACAUCUCGGUAAUUGAGAAAGAUGGCGAUUGGUACAUUCAGGUUCGCUGCAUACUUCUGCCAUCCUCCCUGUUCGAUAUUUGGAUACAUGUGGCCCGACAUUGUCUCCAGCUUCACAUUCCUCCGGUCUGGCAAUCCCAGAUAGAAGGGAUAUGUGGGGAUUGGGACGGAGAUCCAGGGAACGAUGUUACGACACUUGACAGCUGGCCACAGGUGACGGCUCCGUUUAGGAGGUUCCCCUAACACCACACGACGCCGAUGACGAUAUUACUCGAUGAUCCAUGGCGUGAUGACCAAAGAACCAAUCAACCAACCGACCAACUCUGUGCAAACUAUGUCUUCUUUCUCCAGUGAUUGAUGUUCAUGUGGAACAAGGGAAGCGCUGGACGCCAUUUUAUGUUUCACAGCCGUAUACUUGGACACAGGUUUACUACUGACCAUGUCACUUAGACUUCUAAAUCCCUAUUCCCAUGGAAUCUCUCUAUCUAUUGACUGACAGAAUUGAGAAAAGUUGAUUUUAGACUCACUUACUUAUUGUUCUUUGGUGAACGUCCACUGGAGAGUUGAAUAUCUACAAAAGGAACGGAAUCAUGGACAAUGGAAGUGAAAUUUGUGGGGGUGCACGCUACUCUUUUGGUGCUACGAUAACUGUUCUAUUUUUUGUUUGUUUGUUUGUUUUAAUUUUGACAGUGGUCCUAAUGCAAUUUCUUGCAUGUGGAUUUUUGUAAUGGGGUUGAAUGAAAUAUAUUGCCGUAUCAGGUGUAUGACAUUUUUUCGAGGAAGUAAACAAAUAUGGAUAAAUUUCCGAACAUAAGAAUGACCAUGACAGAGAAAAACACAUUUGGCACUUAAAAAAAUGCAAUGUGGCGCAAAAGAAA